Molecule: ribosomal RNA, 559 nt
Filed under: uncultured soil bacterium
Lineage: Bacteria
Description: bacterial SSU rRNA
Rfam family: Bacterial small subunit ribosomal RNA
Source: RNAcentral
GCUGGCGGCGUGCCUCAGACAUGCAAGUCGAACGCGAAAUUUCCCUUCGGGGAGAAAGUAGAGUGGCGCACGGGUGAGUAACACGUAGGUAAUUUACCUUCGGGUGGGGAAUAACAGCCGGAAACGGCUGCUAAUACCGCAUAAUGCAGCGGCUCGACAUCGAGACAGUUGUUAAAGCGGGGGAUCGCAAGACCUCGCGCCUGAAGAGAAGCCUGCGGCAGAUUAGCUAGUUGGUAGGGUAAUGGCCUACCAAGGCGACGAUCUGUAACCGGCCUGAGAGGGCGGUCGGUCACACUGACACUGACAUACGGGUCAGACUCCUACGGGAGGCAGCAGUCGGGAAUUUUGGGCAAUGGGCGAAAGCCUGACCCAGCAACGCCGCGUGAAGGAUGAAAUCCCUCGGGAUGUAAACUUCGCAAGAAUGGGAAGAAUAAGUGCGAGCUAAUACCUCGCAUGAUGACGGUACUAUUUGUAAGCUCCGGCUAACUCCGUGCCAGCAGCCGCGGUAAUACGGGGGGAGCAAGCGUUGUUCGGAUUUACUGGGCGUAAAGGGCGCGUA